RNAcentral lists this long non-coding RNA (215 nucleotides) under Capsicum annuum. Its description in RNAcentral is "long non-coding RNA (CANN_LNC007568)". Lineage: Eukaryota; Viridiplantae; Streptophyta; Magnoliopsida; Solanales; Solanaceae. The record is from RNAcentral.
GAGAGGAGUUUUUAUACCAUUUCAAUCAAAUAACAGAUGUGUAUCCCAAGGCAGCAGAACUUCUCGUACGUGUCAAUUUUGAAAGAUGGAGCCGGGCAUUCUGUCCAGUAGAUAGGUACAUUCUUAUGAAUUUAAUGUCUUGUUUGAGUUACAAGUUUAGUAUGAUGUCGUACUAAGUGAUUAUUUUGUAUAGGUACAAUAUUAUGACAUCAAAC